This 74-nucleotide transfer RNA is filed under the name Minisyncoccota bacterium. Its description in RNAcentral is "tRNA-Arg". It matches the Rfam family "tRNA". Rfam says of the family: Transfer RNA (tRNA) molecules are approximately 80 nucleotides in length. Their secondary structure includes four short double-helical elements and three loops (D, anti-codon, and T loops). The record is from RNAcentral. Lineage: Bacteria; Bacillati; Minisyncoccota.
GCACUCGUAGCUCAGUUGGAUAGAGCAUCAGUUUCCGGAACUGAGGGUCGUGCGUUCAAUUCGCACCGAGUGCA